RNAcentral lists this ribosomal RNA (395 nucleotides) under uncultured bacterium. RNAcentral's name for it is "partial 16S ribosomal RNA". It matches the Rfam family "Bacterial small subunit ribosomal RNA", at positions 523 to 918 of the family's 1533-position model. The record is from RNAcentral.
AUACGUAGGGUGCAAGCGUUAAUCGGAAUUACUGGGCGUAAAGCGUGCGCAGGCGGUUUUGUAAGACAGAGGUGAAAUCCCCGGGCUCAACCUGGGAACUGCCUUUGUGACUGCCAGGCUAGAGUACGGCAGAGGGGGGUGGAAUUUCGCGUGUAGCAGGGAAAGGCGUAGAUAUGCGGAGGAACACCGAUGGCGAAGGCAAUCCCCUGGGCCUGUACUGACGCUCAUGCACGAAAGCGUGGGGAGCAAACAGGAUUAGAUACCCUGGUAGUCCACGCCCUAAACGAUGUCAACUGGUUGUUGGGUCUUCAUUGACUCAGUAACGAAGCUAACGCGUGAAGUUGACCGCCUGGGGAGUACGGCCGCAAGGUUGAAACUCAAAUGAAUUGACGGGG